This 79-nucleotide non-coding RNA is filed under the name Hyella patelloides LEGE 07179. The record is from RNAcentral. Lineage: Bacteria; Bacillati; Cyanobacteriota; Cyanophyceae; Pleurocapsales; Pleurocapsaceae.
AGUAGCCGUGUGCGGUGAAAGUCGCAAGCACGGUUUUGGAUGGGAGUAUCAGAGGGCGACCUCUGGUUCGACCCCUAAC